RNAcentral lists this long non-coding RNA (290 nucleotides) under Ananas comosus (pineapple). Its description in RNAcentral is "long non-coding RNA (ACOM_LNC001504)". The record is from RNAcentral. Lineage: Eukaryota; Viridiplantae; Streptophyta; Magnoliopsida; Poales; Bromeliaceae.
UUAUUAAAGAAUUAACAUACGAUUCCGACCGUCACUAGCGCAAGCUGUAAAAAGAUUUGAUGUUUAGUAUCUGAUGUUCCAUGCAAGUUCGAAGUCUAAUUGUUUAACAUUUUCAGCUAAGUUUUUGGUAUCUGUAGAGCAGAUGUAUUAAAUUUGAUUGGUGUUUGUAUGUUUAAUCAGAAUUUAGAUUAUUGCACUUGAUUAGCGUUUGUAUGUUUAAUUAGAUUUGGAUUCAAUUCGACUAUGCUGUAAAGUAUGAUGUUGUUUGAUGAAGUAUUAUUUGAAUAGUA